GCGUUGCCGCAGGCAACGACCUGAAGGGCGAAGCGCGCAGCGCUGAGUAAUCCUUCCCCCACCACCA
RNAcentral lists this small RNA (67 nucleotides) under Escherichia coli. RNAcentral's name for it is "partial RtT sRNA". It matches the Rfam family "RtT RNA", at positions 65 to 130 of the family's 130-position model. From Rfam's summary of the family: This family represents a bacterial cis-regulatory element known as RtT RNA. The exact function of RtT is unknown although it is thought that it may be involved in changing the cellular response in relation to amino acid starvation. The record is from RNAcentral. Lineage: Bacteria; Pseudomonadati; Pseudomonadota; Gammaproteobacteria; Enterobacterales; Enterobacteriaceae.